CCAUCAAAAUAUGUGAUACAUGACAGUUUUUACGUUGCAGAUACUUUGCGGGAAAAGAAAAAGACAAGUUGCAUGGAUUUAGGAUGAAUGUGUCUCAUCACCAUGCAAAUUUUGGUUUCUACAAUCUUCUGAUGCCGAUGAAGGAAAACCUUGCACACACAAUGCAAGCUUUGAUGCAUCAAAUUAUUAGGGGCAAAUUGCUAAAGAUAAUAUGUAAGACUCUAAUUGCAAUUCAUAUGAAAGACUUGUCUCUGUUGAGACAUCCAGGUUGGUUAGUGCAUUGUUGCACAAAGUGAUAGGUCUCAAAUUUGAGUCCAUGUGUGAAUGUCAUGUACGCCAUUUAAUAGAAUAAAAAUAUAUUUUAUUUUUUUCUAAAAAAAAUCAUAUGAAAGAUUUUGAUGCUAAAAAUUAAAUCCGCAACUAGUACCACUCUGAGACUCAAAAUGCUCAAGAGCCUCAAUUUCCGGAUUGAGGCAACAAUCUAAAACUCAGCAUCAAUAAGAUCAUCUAAAAAUUGUUGGUAAACUCUUCAUCUCCAAGACUAAUUUCUUAUGCUCAUUCUUAGGUUAUUUCCGGAUUGAGGCAACAAUCUAAAACUCAGCAUCAAUAAGAUCAUCUAAAAAUUGUUGGUAAACUCUUCAUCUCCAAGACUAAUUUCUUAUGCUCAUUCUUAGGUUCUCUCUAACACCACUAAUACUGAUCCCAAGCACGGAUGAAAAAGGUGAAGGGUUACGUUAGGUCACUGAUAAUCUGUGUCAGAUCUCAUGAACAUGGAUUUUAACUAAUCUCAAUGGUGGCAAAAACUCAAUGUAGCCGACACCAAAUAUUUGAAACUUUGAUAGUAGUAUCGUAGGUCCUCUCUAUAAUUAGAAUUUAGGAUACACCGAUACAAUUAGUUCUUUCGGAACACAUUAAAGUAGGCUAGCCAUUCCAAGAUUGACCAGUUUGAUUCAGAUUUUCUAUCUUUUACAUGACUACAAUGUUUUGGCGAGAAAGAUUCUCUUUUUUCCUCUUAGCAAGAUCUGAUCAAGAAAUCCGAGACACCGUGGGGGCAAUUAAACAAGGUUUCACUUCCUUGAAUCGUGAAGAACGAGCAGUGACCGUGAUCUUAGCGCGAACGACUCUCAAUCCUCCAGAGAGGGGGAGAAGAAGUAAAGCUUGGGAAUGGAGAUGGAGAUUAGCACGAAAGCGAGAGUGAGAGAGA
RNAcentral lists this long non-coding RNA (1204 nucleotides) under Musa acuminata (dwarf banana). Its description in RNAcentral is "long non-coding RNA (MACU_LNC001560)". The record is from RNAcentral. Lineage: Eukaryota; Viridiplantae; Streptophyta; Magnoliopsida; Zingiberales; Musaceae.